This 492-nucleotide ribosomal RNA is filed under the name uncultured bacterium. Its description in RNAcentral is "partial 16S ribosomal RNA". It matches the Rfam family "Bacterial small subunit ribosomal RNA", at positions 29 to 507 of the family's 1533-position model. The record is from RNAcentral.
AGUGAACGCUGGCGGUAGGCCUAACACAUGCAAGUCGAACGGCAGCACAGUAAGAGCUUGCUCUUACGGGUGGCGAGUGGCGGACGGGUGAGGAAUACAUCGGAAUCUACUUUUUCGUGGGGGAUAACGUAGGGAAACUUACGCUAAUACCGCAUACGACCUACGGGUGAAAGCAGGGGAUCUUCGGACCUUGCGCGAUUGAAUGAGCCGAUGUCGGAUUAGCUAGUUGGCGGGGUAAAGGCCCACCAAGGCGACGAUCCGUAGCUGGUCUGAGAGGAUGAUCAGCAACACUGGAACUGAGACACGGUCAAGAAUCCUACGGGAGGCAGAAGUGGGGAAUAUUGGACAAUGGGCGCAAGCCUGAUCCAGCCAUACCGCGUGGGUGAAGAAGGCCUUCGGGUUGUAAAGCCCUUUUGUUGGGAAAGAAAAGAAGCAGGUUAAUACCCCGCUGUUAUGACGGUACCCAAAGAAUAAGCACCGGCUAACUUCGUG